UUCUGUAAAAUGGAAAGAGGACUGG
Molecule: non-coding RNA, 25 nt
Filed under: Rattus norvegicus (Norway rat)
Lineage: Eukaryota; Metazoa; Chordata; Mammalia; Rodentia; Muridae
Source: RNAcentral